Molecule: ribosomal RNA, 429 nt
Filed under: Bacteroidota bacterium
Lineage: Bacteria; Pseudomonadati; Bacteroidota
Description: Bacteroidetes bacterium partial 16S ribosomal RNA
Rfam family: Bacterial small subunit ribosomal RNA
Source: RNAcentral
UAGGGAAUCUUCGGCAAUGGGGGGAACCCUGACCGGGCAACGCCGCGUGAGUGAAGAAGGUUUUCGGAUCGUAAAGCUCUGUUGUUAAGGAAGAACGAGUGUGAGAAUGGAAAGUUCAUACUGUGACGGUACUUAACCAGAAAGGGACGGCUAACUACGUGCCAGCAGCCGCGGUAAUACGUAGGUCCCGAGCGUUGUCCGGAUUUAUUGGGCGUAAAGCGAGCGCAGGCGGUUAGAUAAGUCUGAAGUUAAAGGCAGUGGCUCAACCAUUGUAGGCUUUGGAAACUGUUUAACUUGAGUGCAGAAGGGGAGAGUGGAAUUCCAUGUGUAGCGGUGAAAUGCGUAGAUAUAUGGAGGAACACCGGUGGCGAAAGCGGCUCUCUGGUCUGUAACUGACGCUGAGGCUCGAAAGCGUGGGGAGCGAACAGG